AUUCUGGGCGUAAGCGCAUGCAGGUGGUUCAUUAAGUUCAGAUGUGAAAGCCCGGGGCUCAACCUCGGAACUGCAUUUGAAACUGGUGAACUAGAGUGCUGUAGAGGGGGGUAGAAUUUCAGGUGUAGCGGUGAAAUGCGUAGAGAUCUGAAGGAAUACCAGUGGCGAAGGCGGCCCCCUGGACAGACACUGACACUCAGAUGCGAAAGCGUGGGGAGCAAACAGGAUUAGAUACCCUGGUAGUCCACGCCGUAAACGAUGUCUACUUGGAGGUUGUGGCCUUGAGCCGUGGCUUUCGGAGCUAACGCGUUAAGUAGACCGCCUGGGGAGUACGGUCGCAAGAUUAAAACUCAAAUGAAUUGACGGGGGCCCGCACAAGCGGUGGAGCAUGUGGUUUAAUUCGAUGCAACGCGAAGAACCUUACCUACUCUUGACAUCCAGAGAAGCCAGCGGAGACGCAGGUGUGCCUUCGGGAACUCUGAGACAGGUGCUGCAUGGCUGUCGUCAGCUCGUGUUGUGAAAUGUUGGGUUAAGUCCCGCAACGAGCGCAACCCUUAUCCUUGUUUGCCAGCGAGUAAUGUCGGGAACUCCAGGGAGACUGCCGGUGAUAAACCGGAUGAAGGUGGGGACGACGUCAAGUCAUCAUGGCCCUUACGAGUAGGGCUACACACGUGCUACAAUGGCGCAUACAGAGGGCAGCAAGCUAGCGAUAGUGAGCGAAUCCCAAAAAGUGCGUCGUA
Molecule: ribosomal RNA, 740 nt
Filed under: Vibrio sp.
Lineage: Bacteria; Pseudomonadati; Pseudomonadota; Gammaproteobacteria; Vibrionales; Vibrionaceae
Description: bacterial SSU rRNA
Rfam family: Bacterial small subunit ribosomal RNA
Source: RNAcentral